AAAUUAUGAAAUCAUUAUAUAAUCAAGACAAGAUAUUGGAAUAUAAAUUGAAAAUGAUUGUGAUUUUCAAAAAAUUAUUGUAGAAUUUUGAAACUUACACUAAUUUCCCAAAUACUGGAAAUUUUUUUAUUUCCAUCACUAAAUUUGAAAAAAUAAUAAAUUAGGGUAUGUUACCCCAUCAGCGAAAAAAAAUCUCCACCAAACGACAACAACAUACACUAAGAAAAUCCAGUAUUUAAAAAAAUUGCAAUAAAGAAAAUAUUUUGAUGUUUCUUCGAUAUUUGAAUAUUUGUCGUGUGCGUUCUUACUCGAAAUCUUUUGAUCGAUGCUUCAUUCAAACCUUACGGCGUCUUAUUCGAGGUCGAUUUAAAAAUCUCCCCAAACAUAACACUAGAAAUUUCACCAAGAAAAUUAUUAAAACAAUACCGAUCUUCAGCAAUUUCAUCUCUUCCUCUAUCUCCAUCAGCAGUUCAUUUGUGUGAUUAUCCAUUAGAGAAGCAACUUGCAAUAGAUUUCAGUGAUUAUAUAGUUAAUAGAGGCGACUUGCAAUAUAUAUAUAAAUAUGAAGGUAGUUAAAUUAGUCAAGUUUAAUUUGGUUUAAUUACAUUUCUAAUUGGACUCUCUAACUAAUAAUUUAACUAACCAACUUAACGAAUCAUCUCAUAUAUCUUGCUUCUUGCUAAUUGAAAAAUGAUCAAUCUAACAGUCCAAGAAAUUAAAAAAAAAGGAAAUUAAAAAAAACUUGUUCAUCAAUAAUAUAUAAAUUAAUUAAUGCAUUUAUGUAAAGAUUAAACAUAUUAAAGUCGUUUAAUUUUGAUUCUAGAUCAAAUUUUAGGCCUUAAAUUAAUUUUUUAGUUAUUUUUAAAAUAUAAGUGCGAAAUGAUAUCGAUAGAUUAAUUAUUAUUUUUAGAUUAAAUCACUACAAACCCGAACCGUAAUCUUUUGAGUAUUUGUAACGGAAUUUUAGUGACGACCAAAGUUACUUUUUUUUAGAUAUUUGUAACGGAAUUUCUAAUUGUACCCGCCCUCUAACUAAUAAUUUCUAAAAAGAAUUUCCGUUAUAAAUACAAAAAGAAAAUGAUUGAUUUUUUAAUCAUUUCUAAAUUUAUUCAUCGGAAUAAUAUUGAAUAUAGUUUAAUUUAUUUGAUUUUUUUGGUAAUAAAAAAUAGCACAAAUUAUGAUAUAAUUAUUUAUUUAUUUUAUAAAUCUGCAUCACUAUUAUCGGAUUGAGAGUGUGACAUGGGGCUUUGGUGGUCAUCGAUGUUAUCAGAUUGAGAGUGUGGACUAGGGCUUUGGUGUCCAUUGUUGUUAUCUGUAGACUCCUUUUUGUAUUGAGGAAGACUAGUCGAGGUUUCUGAGCGGGAACUUAUAUCCUUGUAGGACUCGACGUACAUAUUAUCUUCUUCAGAAUAGCGUAGUUUCUUCUGGUUGAAUGUUUCAAGUUCGUCUAGCUUGUCAUUGUCCUCUUCUUCUAUCUCCAUGAAGAGUUGGGUCCACUUGAAGAGUUGAGUGAAGGUCUUUACUUUUGGGACCUUCAAACUCUUAAUCAGUGGGGAAUAGGGUAUUAAACCCUUGAUGUACCCAAUGAUGACUGUGCUUGGGAUUAACUCAUUCACUUCUGUCAUCAUCAAAGUAAAUUUUAUCGUGUAAUCCUUGAGGGACAUGUCCCCUUGUCGGAAUGCUAAUAGAGUGUUAGUGAUGUGUUUGAUCUAUAUCAUCCCCACGUGUUGGGUGAUGAACUUCAGAGAUAGUUCUGCGAAGAAGGUGAUCGAUCUAACUGACAGACUGGAAAACCAUCAAUACGUGUUGCCCUUGAGAGUGCCGGGAAAAGACCGACACAAUAAUCCAUUAUCGAUGGUUUGCAGUUCCAAAAUAUUCAAGUAGAGGUUGAUAUGAUCCUCUGGAUCGGUCUUCCCAUAGUACGAGUCUAUCUUCAGAGAUCGGGAAAAUCGUGGGAAGGGUUUUCUCAGAAGGUCCCUAUGAAAGGGUGCCUUUUUUGCCCUGAGAAAUUCGUGGACUGUCUAUAUAUGAUGUGCUUGUCUGUGAGUUUACGAAGAAUUUCCUUGGUUACCCUUUUUAUGAGAGUGGCAUCGUAAUCCGCACAAGUCCUGGAACUGGAAGGCACAUCCGAGUGAUGUGUCGUGGAUUUGUGAUGAUAACUGAGAUGCUUGUGUCUUUGUGUUCUCCUAAAAUCGUCUCCCGUAGGAGAGUAAUGCGAGUCGGACUUAGAGUGUCUUGAGUUUGCAGGAUUCUUUACCUUUUUAUCCUUCAACUCCUUUAGCUCAUUGGCUAUCCUUGAUUCGGAUCGACGACGUAAACUUAACUUAGUCUUCCCCAAAGAUGGGGAAUGGUGUUAGUUAGACUUGUUUGUCACAUCUCGUGUGGUGAUUCGGCUCUUUGAAGCCUUUAGAUUAUUUAUUUGUUUCCCGAACUCCAACAUAAGAGUUUGCAUUUGCGCAAACUGCUCCUGUAUUGUGGGAGUUGGGUCCACUCCCCCAUUCAGCAUGAGUGGUAUGGCCACUACGCUAUUUGGCGGGAGUGAUAGGGGCACCUCAACAUCUUGUGCUGACAGUGGUGCAUCAGAGACUGGUACGAUACUGGAACCAGCCCUCUUGCUAGCAGUUGUUGCCUUAGUAGCAGAGACAACAACGACAACAGUCUUCUGACUCUUAUUAACGAGAACCAUAGAUGUGAUGAGUGCCUGCCCUCCUGGGUGUUACAAAAUAUGAUUUUUUUUGUAUAUUAUUUCUUUACACUUUUGUAACCCAAUUAAAGAAUACUAUUAUUUUCCAAAUUUUAAGAUUGGCAAAAAAUAUGGGAAAUUUUGGCAGAAAAAUGUGCCGUCAAGAGUGAUUUUGGGAGGAUCCCUGACACUAUUUUGAAAUGCUGCUCUUUGGUUUUCUUAGACAAUUCUUUUUUCGAGUGAUAUGUUGUCUCAGAAUCCCGAGUUCGUAUUUGGUUAUUUUAGAAAUGGACCGACGCAAUCAUUGAAAGGGAAAAUAUGUUGGUGUACAGUUUUGUAUCAUUAGUAUUCUCCUCGAAAAUAAUGGUUUGUGACAAGGCAUGUACCAUCAGCUCUGCUCUCAAUCUAUAAACAGGAGAGGAUUUACUCAAUCUAAGCAUGAUUGAGAGCUCAUGCCUGCUAGCAAUGUUUGAUCUUUCUUGAGAUUUUGAGGCCUCAAGCCUUCUCUAAGACUCAAGAGCUAACCAUGAGAACUCGAAGGCUAACUUUAAGAACCCGAGAGCUAAUCUUGUAAAUCCAAGAGCUAACCUGGAGAAACCGAGAACUAAUUAAUCUUGAGAACACAAUAGUUAACCUUGAGAAUCCAAGAGCUAAUCCUGAAAACCCAAGAGCUAAGCUAAGUCAAACACUAUACAUAUUGUUGACAAUGUUCUCUCCUACAAAAUAAUACAUUCCAAUCCUUCUCUUCUUCUGACGUCUCCUCCGAUUACUACACCGAUUCUAUCAUUCCUCUCCAAAUCUUACAACGUAUUAACUUCACGUUGCGGCGGUGGCGUUACUGACAAUGUCGCGACUUCCUCAAGUCGGGGGCGGUCGAAGUGCAGCGGAGUGGCCAGAUUGUCGCUAGGGUUUAUCGCCCACAAAAGAAAGGGGCUUUUACCCGCUAUAACGGUCACUAAGAGGGAAGAAGGAGAUUUGCUGUAAUUCUUUAGUUAAUCUGAGUAAAAGAGAUUAACUGUUUGUAUUGAAUUAAUUAGAGUGUUUAAUUACAACGUUUAUUAAUACAAAAUUAUUCAACUAAUCUCAUAACUAACUAAUUUGAAAUAAAGAAGACCUGGCCCAUUGUAAUUGAUCCAUUAAGAAUCUAUUUAAAAUAUUUCACUUUGACCCUUCUACUUUUUUAAUUCUUUUGUCACGAGUCUUGGAAUAAUUGCCUACAUAGUGACACCUGAACUCAAGUUAGUUUUUAUAUCAAAAACUCUUAUUUAUUACAUUUAGGUCAUGGUAACGUUUUCUUGAAAUUUUUGUAAACAACCCCCUGUCGGUUGAUAACUGGUAGUUUAUUUAGUUGUACCAUAACCUUAUAAUUGUUUUAUUUCACUUAAAUCCUUAGUUUAUAUUUCUUGGCAAAAUUACUGUUUUUACCCUGGAUUUUCAGUAUAUUCUUAUACAACGUUCCUUUUUAAAUCUUAUAAUAAAAAUAAGUUGAUGAAGCAAUCAAAAAUGUAUCAUCCGGAUUUUCAAUCAAAACUAAUUUAAUUUUUGUUCACAAAUUCACAAAGCGCGAAAGAAGUCUUUUUAUUGGAAUUAUUGUAAAAACAUUAACACUAAUCAUUAUCAAAGAUAUAUAUAUAUAUAAACUUUCUUUAAAAAAUUAAUUUCACUUUAUCUUUGUUCAAUCUACAUUUCAGCUUUUUUCCAUUUUGAAGGAAGGGACAAUGAUCAACAUAAAUGGAUUCAAGAUGAGAGCAACCGUCUAAAAUAGCGAGCAAACCAUCAUCAUUGAGAGGAAUAUACCUGAUAUCUAAUUUCCGCAAACAACGCAUAUAUUUAGCUAUUGCAAGUGCCACAUGAUUGUUGGAUUUUCUAGUUCUAGAGUAAGCACUACGAUUAAAUAGAUAAAAUUCCUUCAGAUUCGGGCAUAAAUCACCAAUGAUUUUAAUUUCAACUUCAGUCAAGAUGAUACAGCAGUUUAAGACAUCAAGAACUUCCAAGAACGGACAACUCUUACAAACUCCAAUUACUCCAUGGUCUUUAACAUUAAAACAAAAGUUGAAGCGAAGUUGUUUGAGUAAUGGAAAACUUUUACAAACUUCGAUUAAAUCCUCAUUCGUCAAACCUUGAUAAUUUUGAAAUUGAAGACAUUUGAGCAAAGGAGAACUAAUAGAUAAGAAAAAAAACCAAGUUAAACAAAAUGAAUAUUUGGUUGCAUUGCAGAUAGGGGUGUCAAUACCCGCCUCGGUGACACCUCUAAUUGCAUACUUAUAGUUGUAAAAAUUAUAAAAAAAAAACCGUCAAAUACCUUUUUGCGACGUAUUGUAGGAGCAUGAGUGGUGACCAACAACGUAUACUAGGUGGAUAGAAAGAAAAAUCAAAACCCGCAUUCUCGAUCGAAAAUUCUUCCAAACAACCCGCGCUCCGAUCAACUAUAGCGACUCCAAUUUUCAAUAAUUGUGUGUAAGAAAAACGUUUAUUGGUAAGUUUCCAUUCACUUAUACGUAGACAUUUACAUAUGUGAGAUUCUUGUGCAAGCCCCCACCAUGACCGGCAUACAAAUUGUACCGAUACAAAUAUACAAAUCGUAUCGAUCUUAUUGAAUAUUCUUGAAAGAAUAUCCAAUGGAAGCUCUGCCCAGUCACGAAAAUCCUUGGCUGCUAGUAGUUCAUCUGUAUGACAAUCCAUUGGGAAGAUAUGUAAAUAGGUUUAACAGAAUAUAUUUAUGAACUUUGAUAUUGAGUUACAAUAUAUAUGAUUCUCUUACUAGUUAGUAGACUCUCUUAACUAACUUUACAAACUAAGAAACUUAACUACCUUAACUAAUUUUGUUCUUUCUUUAAGAGAGAAAGACUCAAUUAUAACAAAUAACUAAAAUUAAAUAAAGAUUAUAAAAGUAUUCACAUAUACUUAGAUUAAUGGAUCUCAUCAGUUAAUUACACAGUCCAUACUUUAUAACAUUAUUUAAAUUAUAAUUCACAUAUAGUCUACAAUUUUAACAUCAACUCACUUGCCCAUAUAACCCCCAACAAAAUGUAAAGGUUGAGAGAAAACAUAAAUGUUUACUCAAUAUAGCAAGGUCAUUACAUAUACAAGCCAAUAUACCUCUAAAAUACUGGGGAGAGUGUGUAUUGGCUGCAACCUUUUUGAUAAAUAGAACCCCAUCCAGGUUCUAGAAAACAAGACUCCUUAUGAAGCCUUACACCAACAAAAACCAAAAUCAUGCUAUACACACUACAAGAAAAUAGGGAAACAGCCACGGCCAAGAUCAUUGGCUAAAUGAUUUAGCCACGGGAGGGGCCGUGGCUGUAGGUCUGGUGGCUACUGAUUUUUGGCCACGGAAAUGAUUUUCAUAUAUUAUAUAUAUUCAAUAUUGGCAUUUAUAUAUAUAUAUUGGCUUUUGCUAGCCGUGGCUAAGUCCGUGGGCGUAGCCGGCCUGUUUUCUUGUAGUGACAACAAUUCAUAACAGAGAACAUAAGUUCUCACCAAGAACUUUUAAAAGAAUAUUUAUGGGAUAUCCUCCCAACAUAAAAGGCUACUUAGUAUUUAGAAUAGAAGAUCCGAAAUUUCAUAUAAGUAGGGAUGUGGUCUUCAGAGAAGAUAUUUUCCUUUUUCAAGAAAUAAAUCCAAAAUUUAAGAAAAGUGAAAUAAUAAAUAAUUUUUCAAUACAAGAAAUUUUUUAUGAAGAUUAUGAUAAUUAUCACUCUGAGGUCGAUCAUAACUAAUCCUAAAAAUAAGGAUAAUAUUCAAAAGCAUAAAUUGAAUACUAAAAUUCAAAAUAAAAUGAAAAAUGGAUCAGAUAUAAUUGGAAAUAACCAAACUGAUUCUAAAACCAUUCUAAACACACAAUAUGAAUCAGAUAUAACUGGUAAUACCCCAGUCUGAUCAUAACCAAAUGCAUAAAGCAAGAAAUAACUUAAUCAGUGAUCCAGGACAGAAAAAUACUUGAAAAGAAUGAUCAAAAUCAAACAUAUAUUCAAGAAUCACAGAGUAAGGAAAUUCUAGAACAAAAAGAAGAACAUGAAGAAAAUCAUGUUCAAAAUCAAUCUACUUUAGAAAAUCUUGGACAAGAUCAAGAAAUGCACAAUCAAAAUGAAACAACAUUAGGAAAAUCGAAUUCUAUUGUAAAAUCAAAACAAACAAGGCUAGGAAGAAUCAUAACAAAACCUCGCAAAUUAAUAUAAAGAUUGAUGAAGAUUAUCCAAACAAAAAUAAAUAUCUCAUGAGUAAUUAUGUAUCUUAUCAUAGGAUAAAUAGAAAACAUAAAGAGUUUCUAAUAUAAAUUAAUUACAAUCCACAAUGAACCAAACACAUUCAAUGAAGCUUCAAAUAACCCAAUUAAGAUGGGUUGAAGCCAUGGAAAAAGAGAUGGAGACACUCAUCUCAAAUAAAACUUGGACCUUGACAUAGCUUCCCAAAGGAAGGAAGGAAGUAGGUUCAAAAUGGGUAUAUAAGAUAAAAUAUAAGUUCAAUGGAGAAAUAGAAAGAUACAAAGCAAGACUUGUAGCCAAAGGCUUUUUUCAAAAAGAAGGUUUUGAUUUUUAUGAAACCUUCGCACCUGUUGCAAAAAUAACAACGGUAAGAAUUCUAAUAUCGAUAGUUGCACAAAAAAGAUGGAAUCUUUAUACAAAAAUUGAUGUAAAUAAUGUUUUUCUUUAUGAAGAUUUACAUGAAGAAGUUUACUUAAGACCACCUCAGGGAUUACUCUAAGAAGGAGACAAGAAGGUUUGUAAACUUAACAAGUCUUUAUAUGGGCUCAACCAAGCAUCUAGAAACUGUUUAAAAAAUAAAAAUAUAGUAAAUACGGAGAGGCACUAAUGUUGCGCUAAAAUAUAGUAGAAACUGUUCAAACAAUCACAGGUGCGCUAAAAUAUUUAUUCUGGGUUGAUGCUACAAACAUUGAAGAUUAUAGUAAAUACAGAGAGGUUGUUACAUUCGACACAACUUAUAUAACAAAUAGAUAUAAGUCAGUAUUUGUUAUGUUCAGUGGAGUUAACAAUCAUCUAAGUUCAAUAUUAUCUGCUGCAACAAUUAUUUCAAAUGAGAUAUCAGAUUCUUUCGUUUGGUUAUUCGAGGAAUUCAAAAAUUGUAUGAAAAAAGACCCUAAGGCUAUAAUAACCGAUCAAGAUGGUGCAAUGAAUGUGGCUAUAGAAUGGGUAUUUCCAAAUACUUUCCAUCGAUUAUGUAAGUGGUAUAUUACAUACAAAAUGUGUGACAAAAUUAGGUCAGUUUAUAGAAAUAAAAAAGAAAUAGAAAGGUUCAACACUAUACUGAACAUGUCGGAUACAAUUGAAAAUUUCAAAUGUGAUUGGGACUUGUGGACAAAAGAUAAUAUAUAACAUUCAGGACAAUGCAUGACUAGAAUCUAUGUUCCAAAUUAGACGAAAGUGGAGUCCAGUAUUCAUGAGGAAUCAUUUUUUUUGGAGGGAUGCAAAACACACAAAGAAGUGGAGGUAUGAAUGCUAUUUUGAAAUCAAAAAUAUAUAAAAAAAUCUACAUUAUAUGAAUCAGUAGGAUCUCUGGAAACAUUAUUAAAGGAACAAACAAUGUGAAUUGGAUCAUAACGAUGUAGAUGCACCACCUCAUACAAUAACAGCUUUGCCUAUUGAAUGAUCUUUACUUCAAGUUUAUACAUCUGAAACUUUCCUACAGUAUCAGAUUCAAGUGCAAAAAAGUUUAAGCUACUACAUGAAUAAACUUGUAUCACUAAACAUGUUCAUUUAAUACAUGAUAUUUACACACGAAAUUCUAAAAUAAUUUCAUUAAAAACGAAAUUUAUUUUCUAGAAUCCAAACACAUAUCUAGCGGUGGGAUUAUACAGUCAAAUAGUUUCAGCAAAGAUAUCAGUGGGAGUGGACAACAUCGCAAGAUAUAGCUGUCAUCUAUUAUCUUACAAAGGAUUUCAAUGUAGACAUCUAAUUUGCAUGCUCAGAAACAUUGGGGUAACAACAAUUCCUAGUGACAUGAUACUUGAGAGAUGGAAAAAAAUAUUUCUGAAUCGGAUCCGCUACCUCAUACAUUGUACAAAUCAAAUCAAAGGAAUUGAAUCUUCUUAUUACAAGAUGUUCAAAUAUCUCACGUAUUUCGGAAGAAGCAAAUGAGGAGGGUAAAAAAGAAUUAAGAAUCGCAAUUGAUAGAUUGGAGACGAAAUUUGGAGUACAAAUAGACAAACCGAUAAACGGUUCCAUAACAAGAUUCGUGGAAAGAUCAAAUUGGGUCACUGUAAUUGGAAAUACAAAAACCACAAAAAUAAAAGGAAGAGGUAUAAACACAGGAAGACUGGGGAAAGCAGAUUCAAGAUACAAAUCUUAUAGAGAAAUUUUAAUACCCAAGAUAAAAUGUUACGGUAAAUGUAGGCAACCAGACAAUAACUCUAGAAAUUGUAAUGUAGAUAAAGAAGAUCGCCAGGGAUCACAGUGCAUCAUAGAAGCACAAGUCUGGAAUAUAUCAUUUCUAAUCUUGGGGACUUAUUUUCUGGUCCAAGAAAAUGGGUAGAAUCCUUCAAAUAUACCAUAUGAAACAUGACGUAAACCUUCAAUAAUGUAUAACCCGCCAUCACAACCUGCAUCCUUCUCCUGUGGAAUAAGCUAGCCAAUGAAUAAGUUUGUUCAUCUUUAAUAUUUAGUAUUUCGCAAAAGAAGUAGUUAAACUUUUUGAUCUGCAAUUCGGAAAGGAAUAAUGAAUUAUCAAAUAGAAUAAAAUUCACAGUCGCGGCUUCUUCAUUCUCUUUUCCUAAAAUCUUAUAAUUAGAGUCAUAAUGAAUGUAUAAAUUAUCAUAACUAUACCACAUAAAAAAUGGCAGUGAUCAUUAGUGUGGAUAGGAAUGAAAACAAAUCUAAUCGACUUCUUCAAAAAAUUCUUCGAGAUAACUGCAUUUUUAAACCUUUUUAGUCUAACUGCUUCAGAAUCCUCUGAACUACCACGUGUUAAACAACGAAUAUUGGUAUGUAUCAUCAAAUAUAUCUUAUUUCAAUAUUUUAAGUGAUGGAGUGUUGUAUACUUUUAGCUUCAUCCCUUCGACCAAUAUAACAUUAUAACAAUCUACAAGCUACAGAAAUUUGAAGAAAAAUUAGUCUAUUUCAAAAAGAGUAUGGUUAAAAAAAUGAAUUAGGUUCAAACAAACAUACAUUUGUACCAUAAACUUAGGCAUGAGAUAGUUGUGUCAAAGUAACAAACCUUUUGGAUCUAUACCUUUUAUCAUUAAAAAUAAUCUAAUUAUUGAUAUCAGUGCAGAAUCUAAAGAACUAGUAAACAAUGUUGAAAACUAAUUAUUGAUAACUGUAUUUGGGCAGUUAGGCGGUUACUGCCCAAAUGACCAGAUUACCCCCAUAAGAAUCCCUAUAAAUAGGAGGCAUCCCCAUUUAUUUUCUUUAUAUAGUCCAUUUCCUGAAAUGGGUUCUUUUACCUUUGCAUACCUGUAAAAUAUAAUAUUAUAAACACGCAAAAUAACAUAAGGGUUAUUAUUAAUACAGUUCCAAUGAGUAUCAUCUAUAUUGAUUUUAUUACUACGAUUAUCAGUUUUUUUGUCUUUUGCGGACCAUAUCUCGAUAUCAGACAAGUAUCACAUUUUGAGAAGAACAGACGAGUUAGAUCAAAUAUCUCAUCUGAAACUAGUCUUAUUAUUUAAAUCACAAUAGUUUUUAAUAAUUAGUACAUAAUAUAUUGUCUCAUUUUAAGUUUGAUUUUUUUUCAUCCUUCUCAUUUUAAGUUUGAUUUUUUUUCAUCCUUGUGAUAUAUAAAAAUCAUAAAAUAUAUGAUUAUCAGUUACAUUCUAAUAGAAAUUUAAAGAAAAUACGUACAUUGAACCUGAACCCUCAAAAACCUUAAUAGUUACUGUGAUCACAUUCAACAAUAACCAAAUCAUUACUUUCGAAUUUUGACCCAAUUUGAUAGUCAUAUUAAUUCUAGCUAUUUCAGAUCAGAUACUUAUGCCAUUUUGAUCCAUAUCUGAUUUGCAGAUUUCUUCAGAUAUCAAAAAUGAGAUAUCCGAUCUCGGACUCGAAGCCCAACAACGUGUCCCGCCUGGGCAACCUAGACACAGGUGAAUCUAGAAGCCACCCCUUUAAUAAAGCCUUAAAGACUAAUCCCACACAGUUGGACUUGGACCGAUAGCAAACAGAUCGAGCCCAACCGUUCACUUGGCAGAGCCAUAAAGCUUCGGCGAUCCUAGGCCUGGGUAAUGUAGGUAGUCUAGGAGGCAAUUAUAUUUGAGAUAUUCAUAAGAUACCCUAUUAUAUCUCUGCCGUCUAUUUUCAUAAAAAAAAUGAUGCCUCGAGAUUGUACCCAUCUUAUUAUUUACAAAGGGAAAUAUUCAGGUGCAUGUGUCAUCUUUAUUUGCGUUGUUGUACACAAAAAACAUCCACAACACACGAUUGACAUCCAACGAUCACAAUUAUGUUCGCAUUUACAUAAAGUGCACAUAUAUCAAAAAACUACUAUAGAAUAUUGAAACUUAUACUAUAUUCCCAAAUACAUGGUAAAUUAUUAUUUCCACCAAAAAAUAACAAAUUAGGGUAUGUUACCCCAUCAGCGAAAAAAAACUUCUCCAAACAACAACAUACACUACGAAAAUUCAGUAUUUAAAAAAAUUGCAAUAAAGAAAAUAUUUUGAUGAUUCUUCAAUAUUUGAAUAUUUGCCGCGCACGCGUUCUUACUCAAAAUCUUUUGAUCGAUGCUUCAUUCAAUCCUUACGUCCAUGAAAUUUCCAAAAAUAUAUGAUUAGAAAUUUCACUAUGAAAAGUAUGCAAACAAACCUGUGAGCUUUGAAAUAUUCUUCCAUCUCAUCCUCCGUCCGCAGUUUAUUCGAGUGAUUAUCCAUUAGAGAAGCGAAAAGAGAGAACUAAAAAGUAGAUUCCAGUGACUAUAUAGUUAAUAGAGGCGACUUGCAAUAUAUAUAGG
This 11575-nucleotide long non-coding RNA is filed under the name Zostera marina. RNAcentral's name for it is "long non-coding RNA (ZMAR_LNC005250)". Lineage: Eukaryota; Viridiplantae; Streptophyta; Magnoliopsida; Alismatales; Zosteraceae. The record is from RNAcentral.